This 774-nucleotide long non-coding RNA is filed under the name Eucalyptus grandis. RNAcentral describes it as "long non-coding RNA (EGRA_LNC001841)". Lineage: Eukaryota; Viridiplantae; Streptophyta; Magnoliopsida; Myrtales; Myrtaceae. The record is from RNAcentral.
GCUCAUUCCAAAGCCGAUCAAAGGUCCAUCCGGCGUUGUCCUUCAUCAUUUCAAUUUUUCUUCUGUAGCCGUGGAGUGGCUUUAGCCAGAACUCUCUCGCCAUUGCCGACCGAGGUCUCGACUCGUUUGAUAUACCAGGUAAGAUUCCCCUUUCCCGAACCCCCUUGUCUCGUCCCGGUUUUUGGCAAAAAAAAAGAACCGCCUGGGUUGAUUCAUGCUCUCGGCGAAAUCUUGUUAAAAAGGAGAAAUUUCAUGUCGAGCUAUAAUGCUUUGAAAGUUAAUGCAUCAUGUUUAUACCGAUAGAUGCUUCGGAUUUGAACCCAUAAUGCAAGUUCAUUAAUGAACACCAACUACUCGAUGUAUUGCUUAAAUGAAACCCAGAAUGUUUGAGAAGCCCGAACUCGAAUAGAGAAUUUCAAGUGAUUCGUGAUAGACUGAGAUGGGUUUAACAUGAAAAUGUGUUGAUUCCAGCCUUUAUGCAUCAUGUUUAGUCCGUAGGUUGCAAUAAAUUUCGCCCCAGAAUGCAUGCUUCAAAUCGCAUAUCAACCGUUUGAUAAAAUGCCUGAGAGAAUGCUGAAUAUUGAUUCAUCUUUGAAUCCCGAGAUCUGUUCGUGUUCGUUUCUGGGUUGGUUGAAUCUGCUCUGAUAUUCUUUUUUUCUCUUUGUCUGGCUAUGUGAUUCUAUGGGAACGAUCGAUCGCCGGCGAGCGAGCCAAGAGUCCCCCUUUGGCCGAAGCUCUCACUCCACAUCGGCGAAUCCCGCUGUCCAGGGCUAU